Molecule: ribosomal RNA, 999 nt
Filed under: Triticum aestivum (bread wheat)
Lineage: Eukaryota; Viridiplantae; Streptophyta; Magnoliopsida; Poales; Poaceae
Description: partial small subunit ribosomal RNA
Source: RNAcentral
AUGGAAACCAAUGGGUUAUCACUCAAGACUCAGGAAAUCAGGUCAAAAAGGAAGUGGGAGACAACUGCAGAUCUCAGCCGCCGCUGCGGCAGUAACCAACAUGAAAGUCCAUGGGAAGGCGGUACAACAGAGCAUCAGGACAAAAUGAAUGGGAUAAUCACUUGUUUGGUUUGUGGCGAGGAAGGACAUUACAGUUGUGACCGGCCUUUCAAGGAUCAGGAACACAAAGUUAUUUGCACAGUUUGUAGCAAAAAUGGCCACUGGAGCAUAUCGUGUUGCCAGCAGAACAAGUCACAGAAUCGCGCUUGCACCCGCUGUGGAGAGAUAGGGCAUAGUACUAGUACACAUGGUCUCCUCAGUUGCUCAAGCUGUGACGAAUAUCAUCCGCAUGGAGAGUGUCGAUUGAGCAAAGUUAAAUGCUUUAUUUGUGAAAGUCAGGAUCAUUAUCCUGCUCAGUGCCCCUUGAAUUGGGUAUUGAAUGCAGCGUUUCAGGAUCAGAGAGAGAACUUCGAAGCUGCUCUGUGGCUUGCACUAUCAAAACAAGUCAACACAUUAUCUAAACGGACCUGCAGUCCAAUAGCCAGGGAAUACAACUUAAGGACAAGGAUAUGCUUUACAUGCCGUGAAGAAGGUCAUGUUGCCUUUUACUGUCCUCAGAAAAGAAGAUCAAUAUUGCUCGACCUAUCCAAAGAAUUUGAAGAGAGGAGCACCAUAGCUAAAUCCUCCAACCUGUCCAAAGAAUUAGAAGAACGGGACCCUGGUACUGGUAGUGCUAAACAAUCAUCAAAAAUGAAACCGGCAUCGGUUCUUCGAUGUGUUAGCUGUGGUCAGGAAGGCCACAGGGCCAGGAGCUGUCCAACACGAGUGUUUAUAUGCUCCAUAUGCAAUGAAGAAGGCCACAGGGCCAGGAGCUGUCCAACACGAGUGUUUAUAUGCUCCUUAUGCAAUGAAGAAGGCCACAAAGCCAAGAAAUGCCCUCAGAAGCGCCAGAAGCGUUAA